This 69-nucleotide transfer RNA is filed under the name Malacomys edwardsi (Edward's swamp rat). Its description in RNAcentral is "tRNA-Pro". Lineage: Eukaryota; Metazoa; Chordata; Mammalia; Rodentia; Muridae. The record is from RNAcentral.
CAAGAAGUAGUUUAAUGAGAAUUUCAGCUUUGGGUGUUGAUGGUGAGGAAUUAUAAUCCUUCUUCUUGA